UCUCCGUUGGUGAACCAGCGGAGGGAUCAUUACAGGGCUUCAAACCCCCUAAACCCAUUGCAAAUUUACCUUUGUCGUUGCUUCGGCAGGCGGCUCCAGGGGGAGCCUCGACCUGUACAGGUGCCUGCCGGAGAAACCAAAAACUCUUGUUAUUUGGUGUAAUCUGAGUUAUAAAACAAAAUUAUCAAAACUUUCAGCAACGGAUCUCUUGGUUCUGGCAUCGAUGAAGAACGCAGC
This 237-nucleotide unclassified non-coding RNA is filed under the name uncultured fungus. RNAcentral describes it as "sequence contains ITS1, 5.8S rRNA gene". The stretch from base 189 to 237 matches the Rfam family "5.8S ribosomal RNA", at positions 1 to 49 of the family's 154-position model. Lineage: Eukaryota; Fungi. The record is from RNAcentral.